Microcebus murinus (gray mouse lemur) is the source of this 838-nucleotide non-coding RNA. NCBI's taxonomy places the organism in Eukaryota, Metazoa, Chordata, Mammalia, Primates, Cheirogaleidae. The record is from RefSeq and is a predicted model, not a curated record.
UAUUAUCAAUGCAGUUAUAUUUUUAUUAAUUAUAACUAAGAAAAAAUAAAUUUUUGAGAAAUUGGUGCUUGGUACAGGUUUCUAAGACUGAUUCCCAAAGUUUCUUACACAGAAUUUUUAAAGGAUUCAUUAGUAAAUAAUAAAAUUAAAUUUGCAUUUGAUAUUUGAUCAUUCCCUCCUUUAAGUAAGGGAUAACACCCUAUCUCUUUCAUGUAUCCUACAGCAACCAUCAGAGUCCUGAGUGCACAAGUGUUAAGGAAGUUUUCAAAUGUGUUGAAUUGAUAUUUUAGGUGUGUCAAUAAAGUGUAUGGUUUGAUAUAUCUGUACCCCCACCAACCUAUCUCAAAGUACCUCCAGGUGUUGAAACUCCCAGGACAAUUUUCACACCCAACUCCCACUCUCAGCCUCUAAGUUAUAAUUUAUGUAACAUAGACACCCAGUCCAGCUCACAGAAUCUUCAGCUAUUUGUUGUUUUUUAUAAUGUCUGCCAGUACCCUGUAAGCAGGCUGUGUGAUGUCCGAGACUGUGUGAUGCACUUUUCUCCACAGCUUAUAUAUGCUAAGCCCCUUUACCACGCUAUGAUGUCUUCUCUAAUCCCUUCCGAAUUCUGUCCUUGUUCCUCAUCACCAUGACAACACACAUCAUAUAAAGAGAGCCUUCAUUAACAGAGUCAAAAGAAGCUUCUAAUACAGACCAUUUCUUAAAAAGUGAGACAGAAGAGAAAUGAUAAUAAGAUGAAAAUAUACCCAGACACAGAUCAUGACAUUUACCAGUGCCACUCUCAUCCUUGGAAGUCUAGAAAAUUCAGAAACUGCUCACCUGAAUUUCAAAUCCAAAU